UUACGACUAAACCACGUUGAAACACCAAUUUCCAUGCAAUCACCGAAGUUAAGCAGCACCGAGCCUAGUCAGUAUCAAGUUGGGUGACCGCCUAAGAAUACAAGGUGCUGUAAG
Non-coding RNA from Acanthosepion pharaonis, 114 nucleotides. The record is from the annotation of a GenBank genome assembly. NCBI's taxonomy places the organism in Eukaryota, Metazoa, Mollusca, Cephalopoda, Sepiida, Sepiidae.